UGAGCUUUAAGUUAUGUAAACUUUAAGCCUUCCAAGCUAAAAAAAAGAAUCCCUUAAGUUCAA
This 63-nucleotide transfer RNA is filed under the name Hyalella tiwanaku. Its description in RNAcentral is "tRNA-Gly". The record is from RNAcentral. Lineage: Eukaryota; Metazoa; Arthropoda; Malacostraca; Amphipoda; Hyalellidae.